ACUAUCCCAGAGACCGAAAUUCUUGAGACCAAAUGGAAAGAUCUAUCAGGCAAUUAACGUGGAUACCUUGAGAGCUCAAAAUAUUGAAACAUGGCCGUUCUACAACCAGGCCACUGCCAAUUUGGUGCCUCUUAACUCAACAAGGGUAGCUGUCAAGUUUGAUUUCUUCAAGAUAGCGAAUCUGAUACCUAUUAAAUCACCUGGGAGUGGUCGUGGUCAAUUGGAAAUUACUUAUUUGGAUGAAGAUUUACGAAUAUCAAGAGGUAAUAGAGGUAAUUUGUUCAUCUUGAAAAUGGUGGAUCCAUCCUAUAGAGUUCCUCUUUGACGUGGAUUCUCCAGUGAUCGAUUGUGGUGUCUCUAAUUUUCAAUUUUCCCUUUUUCUCUAGAAGGAAAAUUAUAUUUUUAUUAUGGGAUGUAUUUGGGAAGAUGGAUUUGAAAGAUACUCUAAGAUUUAUAUUCUUCAUAAAUAAAAAGGUUAAAAGAAAAAAUAGAUAUCACAUGCGUUUUUAUAAGAAAGUGACAGCUUAAUACUGCAGUCACAAAUCUCCAGUCUAAUACAAGUGCAGUGUGUUAACAUUCAAUACAAGAUGGGAUCACAAUUUCAU
Vigna radiata var. radiata (mung bean) is the source of this 605-nucleotide long non-coding RNA. RefSeq lists it as uncharacterized. The record is from RefSeq and is a predicted model, not a curated record. The transcript has 4 exons. NCBI's taxonomy places the organism in Eukaryota, Viridiplantae, Streptophyta, Magnoliopsida, Fabales, Fabaceae.